GGGACCGGAAUGCUUAUAUAAAAGGUAUUCCUGUGCCGCAGUCUCUACUCAAACACAUCAUAACAAUGAUUCCCCUACUCUUAGCUGUCGUGUUUUCGGUGUCAUCAGCCGCCCUAACUGCAGAUGGCCAAGUCGGCUGUUUCUUUGACGGUCACGUCUACGAGAAGGGUGAAAUGGUUAUACCCAAGGGAUGCCUGUCUGAAAUGACCUGUUUAGGUAACAACAUAUACAGCGAACUUCAUCUGCUGGGAGGGAUCUGUCCGACAGAGAAACGUACCGUAGACGGACAAAGUG
Long non-coding RNA from Mizuhopecten yessoensis (Yesso scallop), 294 nucleotides. RefSeq lists it as uncharacterized. The record is from RefSeq and is a predicted model, not a curated record. The transcript has 3 exons. NCBI's taxonomy places the organism in Eukaryota, Metazoa, Mollusca, Bivalvia, Pectinida, Pectinidae.